This 1056-nucleotide ribosomal RNA is filed under the name Clostridium perfringens. Its description in RNAcentral is "bacterial SSU rRNA". It matches the Rfam family "Bacterial small subunit ribosomal RNA", at positions 472 to 1528 of the family's 1533-position model. Lineage: Bacteria; Bacillati; Bacillota; Clostridia; Eubacteriales; Clostridiaceae. The record is from RNAcentral.
ACGGUACCCAAGGAGGAAGCCACGGCUAAACUACGUGCCAGCAGCCGCGGUAAUACGUAGGUGGCGAGCGUUAUCCGGAUUUACUGGGCGUAAAGGGAGCGUAGGCGGAUGAUUAAGUGGGAUGUGAAAUACCCGGGCUCAACUUGGGUGCUGCAUUCCAAACUGGUUAUCUAGAGUGCAGGAGAGGAGAGUGGAAUUCCUAGUGUAGCGGUGAAAUGCGUAGAGAUUAGGAAGAACACCAGUGGCGAAGGCGACUCUCUGGACUGUAACUGACGCUGAGGCUCGAAAGCGUGGGGAGCAAAACAGGAUUAGAUACCCUGGUAGUCCACGCCGUAAACGAUGAAUACUAGGUGUGGGGGUUUCAACACCUCCGUGCCGCCGCUAACGCAUUAAGUAUUCCGCCUGGGGAGUACGGUCGCAAGAUUAAAACUCAAAGGAAUUGACGGGGACCCGCACAAGUAGCGGAGCAUGUGGUUUAAUUCGAAGCAACGCGAAGAACCUUACCUACACUUGACAUCCCUUGCAUUACUCUUAAUCGAGGAAAUCCCUUCGGGGACAAGGUGACAGGUGGUGCAUGGUUGUCGUCAGCUCGUGUCGUGAGAUGUUGGGUUAAGUCCCGCAACGAGCGCAACCCUUGUCGUUAGUUACUACCAUUAAGUUGAGAACUCUAGCGAGACUGCCUGGGUUAACCAGGAGGAAGGUGGGAUGACGUCAAAUCAUCAUGCCCCUUAUGUGUAGGGCUACACACGUGCUACAAUGGCUGGUACAGAGAGAUGCAAUACCGUGAGGUGGAGCCAAACUUAAAAACCAGUCUCAGUUCGGAUUGUAGGCUGAAAACUCGCCUACAUGAAGCUGGAGUUACUAGUAAUCGCGAAUCAGAAUGUCGCGGUGAAUACGUUCCCGGGUCUUGUACACACCGCCCGUCACACCAUGAGAGUUGGGCCAAUACCCGAAGUCCGUGAGCUAACCGCAAGGAGGCAGCGGCCGAAGGUAGGGCAGCGAUUGGGGUGAAGUCGUAACAAGGUAGCCGUAGGAGAACCUGCGGCUGGAUCACCU